This 550-nucleotide ribosomal RNA is filed under the name uncultured bacterium. Its description in RNAcentral is "bacterial SSU rRNA". It matches the Rfam family "Bacterial small subunit ribosomal RNA", at positions 69 to 611 of the family's 1533-position model. The record is from RNAcentral.
GUACAUUCCUAGCUUGCUAGGAGAUGACGAGCGGCGGACGGGCUGAGUAAGCUUGGGAAUAUGCCUUAUGGUGGGGGACAACAGUUGGAAACGACUGCUAAUACCGCAUAACGUCUACGGACCAAAGGAGGGGAUCUUCGGACCUUUCGCCAUUUGAUUAGCCCAAGUGAGAUUAGCUAGUUGGUGAGGUAAUGGCUCACCAAGGCGACGAUCUCUAGCUGGUUUGAGAGGAUGAUCAGCCACACUGGGACUGAGACACGGCCCAGACUCCUACGGGAGGCAGCAGUGGGGAAUAUUGCACAAUGGGCGAAAGCCUGAUGCAGCCAUGCCGCGUGUGUGAAGAAGGCCUUCGGGUUGUAAAGCACUUUCAGUUGUGAGGAAAGGGAUGUAGUUAAUAACUGCAUUCUGUGACGUUAACAACAGAUGAAGCACCGGCUAACUUCGUGCCAGCAGCCGCGGUAAUACGAGGGGUGCAAGCGUUAAUCGGAAUUACUGGGCGUAAAGCGUUCGUAGGCGGUUGAAUAAGCAAGAUGUGAAAGCCCAGGGCUCA